CCUACGGGUGGCUGCAGUGAGGAAUAUUGGUCAAUGGGCGCUAGCCUGAACCAGCCAAGUAGCGUGAAGGAUGACUGCCCUAUGGGUUGUAAACUUCUUUGAUAUGGGAAUAAAGUGCAGUAUGUAUACUGCUUUGAAUGUACCUUAUGAAUAAGGAACGGCUAACUCCGUGCCAGCAGCCGCGGUAAUACGGAGGGUUAGAGCGUUAUUCGGAUUUAGUGGGGUUAAAGGGAGCGUAGGCGGGUUGUUAAGUCAGUUGUGAAAGUUUGCGGCUCAACCGUAAAAUUGCAGUUGAUACUUGCAUCCUUGAGUACAGUAGAGGUAGGCGGAAUUCGUGGUGUAGCGGUGAAAUGCUUAGAGAUCACGAAGAACUCCGAUUGCGAAGGCAGCCUGCUGGACUGUAACUGACGCUGAUGCUCGAAAGUGUGGGUAUCAAACAGGAUUAGAUACCCGGGUAGUC
RNAcentral lists this ribosomal RNA (460 nucleotides) under uncultured bacterium. RNAcentral describes it as "partial 16S ribosomal RNA". It matches the Rfam family "Bacterial small subunit ribosomal RNA", at positions 338 to 795 of the family's 1533-position model. The record is from RNAcentral.